AUAUCAAUAUUUUUUUUUUGUAAACCUCUCACUUUGUGAAAAGAUUCCCCCCCCCCUUUUUUUUAAAAGUCUUACUGUAAAAGACACCUCAAAUCCUCACAACAUCUUGAGAAGGGUUCAGGCACAAAUCAGCCGUCAAGACAGCGCUAGGCAAUGUGCAUUGUACCAUGCCUGGAUCUAUUGAGCCGCUCUUCCGCUCAUCCACCUCCCCAGCAACCCUCAGCCCCUACAGUAUUUUGCCACGAGAG
Molecule: long non-coding RNA, 248 nt
Organism: Nanorana parkeri
Lineage: Eukaryota; Metazoa; Chordata; Amphibia; Anura; Dicroglossidae
Exons: 3
Source: RefSeq, a predicted model, not a curated record